This 716-nucleotide long non-coding RNA is filed under the name Coccomyxa subellipsoidea. RNAcentral describes it as "long non-coding RNA (CSUB_LNC000736)". Lineage: Eukaryota; Viridiplantae; Chlorophyta; Trebouxiophyceae; Coccomyxaceae. The record is from RNAcentral.
AGGUUUGCAGCUCUCCAGGCAGAUCGACAGAGCACGGGGGGAUCGGCUGAGCUGGCAGCGGUGCUAUCUGCUGCAUCCCCGGGCCGGCAAGAGCCUCUGUGGGACCGUUUGAACCAACUGCAGGCGCCCACACUCUUUGUUGCCGGCGCAGAGGACGCCAAAUUUGUCGCACUCGCGUACAAGAUGGCGGCAAAGCUGGACACACUAGCAACCACCAACCAGCAUGAAACAACGCCCAACAGUCACACAGAAUCAGCAAGAACAGAGGGAACCAGGACAGAGCAUUCUCAAGAGGGGCCAGCAGAGCUGCCUACUGUUGAGAGGCAGCCGGUUGGGCGUCUGAUUGGAGACGGAGACAGCAAUGGAAAGAGCGUGAAGGUUGAGGUGAUCACCAGCUGCGGCCAUGCCGUGCACGUGGAGAGGCCUGAAGCCCUCGUGCCGCUGCUCAGGCGCCUGAUAUUCGGGAGUGUGUGAAUAAAUUUUAACUCAGUAUGAACACAUUUCCUACGUUGCUAUGUUGCGGUGAACACUGAAAGCUACGGUCUGUACAGCCGCACCGUGCCAAGAUUAUUGAACUCAUGCCAGAAAACCCAACUGGAAGUGAACUCUGUAGGAUGGGCACUGCAGUAGCGCAUGACCAUGGCCCAACACCUGCGGCUGUCCUGCCUAACAAAUAUAUACAUGUAGAGUGUUGGCUUGCAUGUAAAAUCUAACAC